RNAcentral lists this ribosomal RNA (426 nucleotides) under Triticum aestivum (bread wheat). Its description in RNAcentral is "partial small subunit ribosomal RNA". The record is from RNAcentral. Lineage: Eukaryota; Viridiplantae; Streptophyta; Magnoliopsida; Poales; Poaceae.
AUGCACGAUAGUGCAGUGGGCUGCCACUCUGGUGCAUCCGCAACUUACCACCGCAUCAAGAAAUGCUUUGCGUGGAAGGGCUUGAAAACGGCAGUGGAGGAAUACGUGCGCCAGUGCACUGUCUGCCAGCAAGCGAAACAUGAACUUCAGAAACCUGCUGGCAAAUUGGCACCUUUACCCAUCCCAACAGCACCUUGGCAAGAUCUCAUGAUGGAUUUCGUUGAAGGGCUUCCCAAGUCGGAGGGCUAUGAUGCGAUUAUGGUGGUCGUGGAUCGCUUCACGAAGUUCGCGCAUUUCGUGCCGCUCCGUCACCCCUUCACAGCGGCGCAGGUGGCCAAAGCCUUUUGGGACAACAUAGUUAAAAUCCAUGGGGUGCCGGCCUCAAUUGUGUCUGAUAGAGACAAGGUCUUCACCAGCGCUCUCUAG